GCAAGUGUGGUGGAAUAGGUAGACACGCAGGCUUGAGGGGCUUGUGAUUUAUAUCGUAAGGGUUCAAGUCCCUUCACUUGCACCA
Molecule: transfer RNA, 85 nt
Filed under: Bacillota bacterium
Lineage: Bacteria; Bacillati; Bacillota
Description: tRNA-Leu
Rfam family: tRNA
About the family: Transfer RNA (tRNA) molecules are approximately 80 nucleotides in length. Their secondary structure includes four short double-helical elements and three loops (D, anti-codon, and T loops). Further hydrogen bonds mediate the characteristic L-shaped molecular structure. tRNAs have two regions of fundamental functional importance: the anti-codon, which is responsible for specific mRNA codon recognition, and the 3' end, to which the tRNAs corresponding amino acid is attached (by aminoacyl-tRNA synthetases). tRNAs cope with the degeneracy of the genetic code in two manners: having more than one tRNA (with a specific anti-codon) for a particular amino acid; and 'wobble' base-pairing, i.e. permitting non-standard base-pairing at the 3rd anti-codon position.
Source: RNAcentral